Molecule: small nucleolar RNA, 150 nt
Organism: Bison bison bison
Lineage: Eukaryota; Metazoa; Chordata; Mammalia; Artiodactyla; Bovidae
Source: Ensembl
CCUCUGUGAAUCAGGAUAGCAUUAAACAACUUUCCUUUCAGUCCUGGUCAUGUGCAGAGGUCCAGAAAGGGCUCUGGCCUUCUCUGUGUCAUGCCUUUGGUACCGGUGGCUUCCAGUCCGUGAGUACUAACCUCGAGCACCCGGACAUCA